Helianthus annuus (common sunflower) is the source of this 2647-nucleotide long non-coding RNA. RefSeq lists it as uncharacterized. The record is from RefSeq and is a predicted model, not a curated record. Lineage: Eukaryota; Viridiplantae; Streptophyta; Magnoliopsida; Asterales; Asteraceae. The transcript has 9 exons.
CAAAACGGAUCCUAUAUGUUAUUUUCCAAAAACCCUAGACACCACAUUCAUCUCCAUUCUCCUUUCAUCUCCGUUCUGGUUCAAGCAUACGAUUCAAGCAUUGCCAUUCCGAGUCAAUCAUCUUCUUUCUCCUUCAUCUCCAUUAAGUAGGGGUCGCAUUCUUCUUCCGAUGAUUCCGUCUUUGUUCACCGACUAUACUUUGGUUCGGAUCUUCAAAUUGGAAUCAUCCAAAACUGAAAAUUGGAUAUCAUAUAAAUUCCAAUAACUGAAGACCUCAAGACCACCGCAUAUUACAGGCUCACUUUUCUGAAACCCUAAAUCUCAAAACGUGAUUCUCCUUCAAUUGUUCACCGCGGAUUCAUCAUUCAGGUUACCAUGAACUUAUGUGUCUCUGCUUAUUUAAAAUAUGAAUCAUUCAAGUUAUUUUGUCAGAAUAGGUUGUUGGUGUACGAAUAUAUCAACAAUGGAAUUUAGAAUAAUGGCUUCACGGAGUUAUGCGCUACCAUGGAUAUCUUACCUCGAAGGCUUGGAUAAAGGUUCUUCUUGGGACAACAAUGGCAUUUUUUGAGGUUCAAGGAUUUGAGAAGCGUAAUGAUGAGCAGGCGCUGGAACUUAUGAACGCAUAUGUCGUUGCUGUGUUAGAUGAGUUAACGGCAUUGUAUUUGCAUAUCGACGUUGUUUUGAAGAAAAAAGACCAGCUCAAUCAAAGAGGUGCCAGGUCCGUCUUCCAUCAUUUAUACUAUACAACAUGACUGUUAAUGGUUAAUGUGAAUGGGUCAUCAGUGGUUUGUUUUGGGGUAAACUCAUCAGGAUGAUGACCAAUAUUAUAUAUCAUAAGACUAAGGUUAUAUACCAAGUUCGUUUUUUCUUAUCUGAAACAAUCCGGUAUAUCUCGGUGGAAAACACAAGAGUUACAAAUUUGUGUUUAAUUCAAAGGGUGAUGAAGAAGCUAUGGUAUGCUUAUAAUCAUUUUAACCUUUAGGUAUAUUUAUAUUAACAUUUCUACAUAUUAUUAACUUCUACGGGCAAAUAUGUCUAGAUGGGAGCCUGUGCAUGGGCUUUAAUGUUUAGCCAUUCAUGGAAACAAUACGUAAAACUUGGAGCCUCGAUGCGUACUUGUGCGUACUGCAUUGAAACUCCAAAAUGGUUUCAUCAUUUCUAAAGCUCUGGUUAAAAAAUCUUAAUAUUUCUAUUUGAUUAUAGAUGUCUGUUUUUACAUGUUAUUGCAUCGAUUGCGCUUUUGUGUUUCGUUUAUAUGCAAAAGUGAGUCGCACUAAGGUGAUAGGGUCACUCAUGUUGUCUCUAACUAAGAUAAACUAUAUGGUUGAGCUGGUCAGCGACGGAUAACAAAGAUGAUUAGCAUGGAGCUUGGAGUUAAAAGGUGUCGGGCGCACUAAGGCGAUAGGGUCUCGAGCCGAGAUGCAAGGCGCAAGAGCAUGUCGCUUUUCUUAGGCAAGACGCAAUAGCAUGUUGCCAUUUAUAAAACUUAUAUGAUACUUGUAUAGCUUUAUCGUUUUAUUUAUAGUGAAUAUGUUUAUAAUAUUAUUAACGUUUUUCAUUUCAUUAUCCAUAUUUUUUGGUGCCAUGCAAAUAUUACUGAAGAGCUGCACUGAAAAUCUUGAUUCCUUGGCUCACCUGGUGAGUUAUUUUAUUUUAAUCUCUACUCAAGUUAAUAUAUUAUUUUGAAACUUUCUGCAUGCUUAUGUUUCUUCCCUUGGUUUUCUUGGGAGGUCGUUAUUAUUAUUUACCAAAAGAUAUAGGCAAAAUGAGAUUUAGGUGACCUGUGAUCAUUCACUUGCAAUUUGCAUGUGCUUUAAUGCUUUAUGGUUAACUCUUUUUAUUAUUCUAAAUCUUGUAUGGUUUAUAUAUUCACACACUUUCUCUUAUUUGUAACUUUUUUUAAAACUCAAUCUUCACUGCAAGUGCUGUUGAAGGAGCUACUUAUUUCAUUCGUGUACCAACAAAGCAACGUUUUAGGGAUCGAUAAAGGAAGAUUAUGCAGCAAUUAAUCCUCCCAGUGGUUUUCAAGGUGGGACAUUAAUGCGAUGCCGCAACUACCAGAAUAUAUAAAACCAUUCUACGAAAUUAUAUUGAAUGAGUAUGUUGAAUUCAACAAACAAGGAUUAACUGAUCUUACCGAGGCUUCAAAAAAAGUUGUUUUGACAAACCGGCGCACUCUCAUUUUCAAUUGUAUAUUCAGCUCCAGAGAGAGAGAUUUAAGGCUCGGAUUCCUCUUUCCGGUUAUCGGAUCUCUGCCGUGACACGGCCCCAUGGUGUCUUCUAGACCCCCCGGGUAGCUUGGCUCGGUGGGUCGGGUACAAUCGGGUGCAAUCGAUGAUGGGAAACGGAUCUUUUUACAAUCCUAAAAAGAUUAUUGGGGUUUGAAUUUGCAUAUAACUUCAUGUAUUUUGUUUUUGUGAGAACCGUAGACUUCUAAAACUUAGUGAAGAAGUCUUUUUUAUUCAAGUUUAGGGACUUAUUCAUGAAAAAAAGACUUUUUCAUUUAUAUUUUGAUAUGUACAUGGAUUUUAUCUCCCAAAAUAGAACUUUAUGUUAGUAACAAAGUGUGAGGACUUUAUUGUCGAGUAAUUUCACGGAGUGUAUACAUGUAAUUCUUUUAUUUAUUCAAGCUUUUCCUUCACUGGCC